CCUACGGGCGGCAUCAGUGAGGAAUAUUGGUCAAUGGACGCAAGUCUGAACCAGCCAUGCCGCGUGCAGGAAGACGGCUCUAUGAGUUGUAAACUGCUUUUGUACGAGGGUAAACGGAGAUACGCGUAUCUUUCUGAAAGUAUCGUACGAAUAAGGAUCGGCUAACUCCGUGCCAGCAGCCGCGGUAAUACGGAGGAUUCAAGCGUUAUCCGGAUUUAUUGGGUUUAAAGGGUGCGUAGGCGGUCGGAUAAGUUAGAGGUGAAAUCCCGAGGCUCAACUUCGGAAUUGCCUCUGAUACUGUUCGGCUAGAGAGUAGGUGCGGUAGGCGGAAUGUAUGGUGUAGCGGUGAAAUGCUUAGAGAUCAUACAGAACACCGAUUGCGAAGGCAGCUUACCAAGCUACUUCUGACGUUGAGGCACGAAAGCGUGGGGAGCAAACAGGAUUAGAUACCCCAGUAGUC
This 460-nucleotide ribosomal RNA is filed under the name uncultured bacterium. RNAcentral's name for it is "partial 16S ribosomal RNA". It matches the Rfam family "Bacterial small subunit ribosomal RNA", at positions 338 to 795 of the family's 1533-position model. The record is from RNAcentral.